AGAAACUGAGGAAGUGGAAACAAAGCUGCAGCUCCAAGCACGUAAACAGAGCAGAGGGAGUCCAAGAUCCUCGCAGUUCUUUUGCAAAUGCAACCACCUAAAUAAUUCAUGAGAGCAGAGACACAAGCUGUCAGUGCCACAUCCAGGAACUAAAUCCCCCUUGAAAGAGCUAAUUUAGCCACCGAAGUGGAUCAUCAGACAGAGCAUUAAGACCAUAAGUGGUUAUAGCAAACAGUAAUGUCAAAAUCUAGUCACCAGUUUCCCUUACAUUU
Long non-coding RNA from Pezoporus flaviventris, 272 nucleotides. RefSeq lists it as uncharacterized. The transcript has 3 exons. The record is from RefSeq and is a predicted model, not a curated record. Lineage: Eukaryota; Metazoa; Chordata; Aves; Psittaciformes; Psittacidae.